GUUGCGAUCARCGAGYWUACAACCUUGACCGGAAGGUCUGGGUAAUCUUUGAAAUCGCAACGUGAUGGGGAUUGAUAAUCGCAAUUAUUUAUCAUCAACGAGGAAUUCCUAGUAAACGCAUGUCAUCAGCGUGCAUUGAUUACGUCCCUGCCCUUUGUACGCACCGCCCGUCGCUCCUACCGAUUGAAUGAUCCGGCGAAAUCUCGGGAUCGGGGCCUAAGCGGGGCAACCUGCUCUGGUUCUGAAAACUUGCUUAAACCWUAHYRYUUAGAGGAAGGAGAAGUCG
RNAcentral lists this ribosomal RNA (286 nucleotides) under Aquavolonida sp. NC10-Aiii-1. Its description in RNAcentral is "partial 18S ribosomal RNA". It matches the Rfam family "Eukaryotic small subunit ribosomal RNA", at positions 1524 to 1811 of the family's 1831-position model. The record is from RNAcentral. Lineage: Eukaryota; Aquavolonida.